ACUAGCACCAAAAAAAAGUCUCUUGAAUUUUUUUUGCCCAGGUUGGCUUGGCUUCAGACCACAAAUCAUGAUCCUCAGAUGUCAGCCUCUAAAACAUCUAAUUUUACCUGGCUAUUUGACUAGGUUUUUGCCUUGAAUUAAUUCACUAAUCUAGCACAUGAAUUUAAUACA
Perognathus longimembris pacificus (Pacific pocket mouse) is the source of this 171-nucleotide long non-coding RNA. RefSeq lists it as uncharacterized. The transcript is spliced from 3 exons. The record is from RefSeq and is a predicted model, not a curated record. Lineage: Eukaryota; Metazoa; Chordata; Mammalia; Rodentia; Heteromyidae.